AAAUUGAAGAGUUUGAUCAUGGCUCAGGUUGAACGCUGGCGGCAGGCCUAACACAUGCAAGUCGAACGGUAACAGGAAGCAGCUUGCUGCUUCGCUGACGAGUGGCGGACGGGUGAGUAAUGUCUGGGAAACUGCCUGAUGGAGGGGGAUAACUACUGGAAACGGUAGCUAAUACCGCAUAACGUCGC
This 188-nucleotide ribosomal RNA is filed under the name Escherichia coli. RNAcentral describes it as "partial 16S ribosomal RNA". It matches the Rfam family "Bacterial small subunit ribosomal RNA", at positions 1 to 182 of the family's 1533-position model. Lineage: Bacteria; Pseudomonadati; Pseudomonadota; Gammaproteobacteria; Enterobacterales; Enterobacteriaceae. The record is from RNAcentral.